Molecule: long non-coding RNA, 696 nt
Organism: Beta vulgaris subsp. vulgaris (sugar beet)
Lineage: Eukaryota; Viridiplantae; Streptophyta; Magnoliopsida; Caryophyllales; Amaranthaceae
Exons: 2
Source: RefSeq, a predicted model, not a curated record
UAUACUCAUUUACAUUAGAAAUAUAUGUGAUAGUAUAAGGACUACUCUAUAUUAGUGAAUUUGGCGCCAUAAUUUAGCUUUCCCUCUACUUUUUUUUCACCAAAUUUCAAAAGCUUUAUGUCUUAUGACAGAAAAAAAAUUAAAUGAAUUCUUUCAAAAAAAUAACCCCACUGCACCACAAGUGGACAAUUAUCUUCCAAAUUUUUUCCCCUAUACAAUUGCUCAAAAAAUUCGAACCCUCAAUUUUUUUCGCAAAAUUAUACCAAUUUCCGGACUUCACUCAAUUAAUAAGAGGAAAGAGGCGAAAUUUUCAACCCUAAAUUCAAUUGCUAGGGUUUGCGAUUGAGGCGAACAAGGAUUGCGAGCAAGGUCAAGAUUGUUAGGGUCUGCCAUUGAAUCGAGAUUGUUAGGGUCUGCCAUUGAGUCGAGUAGCAAGGUUAUGAUUUUCAACUCAGAAAAGAGGCGAUAUUCUUCAACCUAAGGUGGUACUAAUGAAUUCAAUGGUUCAAUAUCGCCCAAUAGGCCAAUAUUUUUAGGCUCUCAAGUUUAGUUUUUGAGUUCUGGAAGUUGACGUAUAAUUGUUUGAGAUGGGUUUUGAUUUGUUUGCAUGGUUUGAAUGAGAUUUCUUGUUGCAUAUGAUUCCCUAUUAUAAGUUUUGAUAAUUUAUUUAAUUGGGUGAGUUUUUUUUUCAUCUUA